Molecule: non-coding RNA, 1003 nt
Organism: Paramuricea clavata
Lineage: Eukaryota; Metazoa; Cnidaria; Anthozoa; Malacalcyonacea; Plexauridae
Source: the annotation of a GenBank genome assembly
UCUUAACUCUUUCUCGCCACAGGCCAUAUCGCGUCGAUCCUGAGCGAUCGACGGCUAUAAAAUUUCAUACUUUCGGUUCAGUGCAUGCUAUGAAGACAGAAAUACCACCAAUCGAUUCAGAAAUAAAAGAUAGACUAGUUCCAAACGAUAGUUAUAGUCAUUAUUAACAUUGUAACGAUUUAUGGGCCUUUGAAAGUCAAACACGAUAAUAUUGUAUCAAAUUACGCAAUUGUCUGAACAAAAUAUAGACUAGCCAUACCUUUCGCUGAAAAUAACUUCGGCCCCUUCGCACAUAUCGUCUUUGUAAUAGUCUUGUUCGAUUCCCCAUCAAAAACACUAUUUAGAGUGUUAUUUGCAAGCCUGUAUCUUCAAAUCUGUAUCUUUUAUCAAUAUAUUUCCAUUUCUUGUCCGACUGUGAGCUCGAAGUGAGUUAAUCCCAACCGGAAAUACGUCUGAAAAACGUCAAAACAAUGCGACGUUUGUAUCAUAUGACCCUGGAAAGGCCAGAAAUGGAUUCGCAAGGUCAAAUUGCACCUACACGCGUGAGUUUGACGUCAUACCGGCCAACAGGAGCUUCUUAUUGGCCAAUUAUUGCGCAAUGUUCGCAAGUGCGAGUAAUACGUACUAAAACCCGAUACCUUGAAAAAUUCAAAAUAAAUAUUUCUAGUCGGCGUAUACAUACCAAACUUUCUACACGAAAGCGCUUGGAUACAAAGAGUAUUUUACACAUAUAGCCGUUCAGAAAAUGACGAAAAGUUCAAGAGAUAUUCAAGAUCUUGUAGAUAUAAAAUCUAGAAUCUUUGGCCAAGCAGUGAGUAAAUAUAUGAUUGUUUCGGUUUGUGUAAUGCUCUGACGGCACUUGACCCCCCGUUCGAAAGGUUAUUUUAGUAGGGUUUCAAUGGUGGCUUUUAUUUACAAGGGGGGUAAAUACUCGCGGAGAUAUUUAUAUUAGAAAAAUUGUGUCGUAAUCUGAUGCGAAAGGGGGUGGUCGAGAAAGAGUUAA